Molecule: unclassified non-coding RNA, 206 nt
Filed under: Hevea brasiliensis (rubber tree)
Lineage: Eukaryota; Viridiplantae; Streptophyta; Magnoliopsida; Malpighiales; Euphorbiaceae
Source: RNAcentral
AAGUAAGAUUGUUGUUACAACUCGAAUUGAAAGCGUAAAAUCAGCUAUACAUAAUAACCAGAUGAUCAUUCACCUAAGUCAUCUUUUGGAGAAAUUAUGUGAUGGUGAUUGCUGGUCCAUGCUUGCAAGAUAUGCAUUUCAUAAUGGAAUUUCCAAUUCAUCACAUUCAGAUUUUGAAGCUAUUGGUAAGGAAAUAGCCAAAAAGU